UACGGAGGGUGCAAGCGUUAAUCGGAAUUACUGGGCGUAAAGCGCGCGUAGGCGGCUUUGUAAGUCGGAUGUGAAAGCCCCGGGCUUAACCUGGGAAUUGCAUUCGAUACUGCAUAGCUAGAGUAUGGUAGAGGGUAGCGGAAUUCCGGGUGCAGCGGUGAAAUGCGUAGAUAUCCGGAGGAACACCAGUGGCGAAGGCGGCUACCUGGACCAAUACUGACGCUGAGGUGCGAAAGCGCGGGGAGCAAACAGG
Molecule: ribosomal RNA, 253 nt
Filed under: uncultured Thioprofundum sp.
Lineage: Bacteria; Pseudomonadati; Pseudomonadota; Gammaproteobacteria; Chromatiales; Thioprofundaceae
Description: partial 16S ribosomal RNA
Rfam family: Bacterial small subunit ribosomal RNA
Source: RNAcentral